UUUCACAGUCGAUAAACUUUUUGCUUAGGUAAAUUGCAUGCUCUUUUCGACAAGACUCGUCAUGCUGACACAAUACGCACCUCAUAGACCCCUUGAGGGCUGUCAAGUACCAGGUUAACAGUUGUUUCUUCCAAGGAAGAUAUCAGAAUCAGAGGUUCCUGUUACUCAUUUUUUUCCAUGCCCCUUGGCAGUCCCCAUCCCACCUGACCAUUUGAUUUCUUUCUUUUUUUGUUUGUUUUUGGUUCAGGCGUUUCUUGCACUAUUCUUUCUUUUCCUUUUCUUUUUUCUUUUUCUUUUUUUUUCCUUUUUUUUAGCAGGAUCGACCUCGACUCCUCUUUCGUUCACAAUAAGCCUCAGCAACUUACCGGACAACACUCCACAAGUGCAUUGGUUCGGACUCAACCUCAGUCUGAGUAGUUUCGAUCCGGUCAAACAAUUUGCCCCAGAUCCACCGGAUGCCCCUCUUCGGCUUGGGACUUUG
RNAcentral lists this long non-coding RNA (481 nucleotides) under Lathyrus oleraceus (garden pea). Its description in RNAcentral is "Pisum sativum (pea) long non-coding RNA (PSAT_LNC006751)". Lineage: Eukaryota; Viridiplantae; Streptophyta; Magnoliopsida; Fabales; Fabaceae. The record is from RNAcentral.